Molecule: ribosomal RNA, 389 nt
Filed under: uncultured Nitrospina sp.
Lineage: Bacteria; Pseudomonadati; Nitrospinota; Nitrospinia; Nitrospinales; Nitrospinaceae
Description: bacterial SSU rRNA
Rfam family: Bacterial small subunit ribosomal RNA
Source: RNAcentral
AACGAACGCUGGCGGCGUGCCUAACACAUGCAAGUCGAACGAGAAUUUUCCCUUCGGGGAAAUAGUAAAGUGGCGCAAGGGUGAGUAACACGUGAAUAAUCUGCCUACGAAUUCGGGAUAACGCGGCGAAAGCUGUGCUAAUACCGGAUAAGACCACAUCUCGUAAGGAGUGUGGCCAAAGGAACCUCAAGUUCCGUUUGUAGAUGAGUUCGCGAACCAUUAGCUUGUUGGUGGGAUAAUAGCCUACCAAGGCGACGAUGGUUAGCCGGCCUGAGAGGGUGAUCGGCCACACUGGAACUGAGACACGGUCCAGACUCCUACGGGAGGCAGCAGUAGGGAAUAUUGCACAAUGGAGGAAACUCUGAUGCAGCAACGCCGCGUGCGUGAAG